This 711-nucleotide ribosomal RNA is filed under the name uncultured bacterium. RNAcentral describes it as "bacterial SSU rRNA". It matches the Rfam family "Bacterial small subunit ribosomal RNA", at positions 62 to 788 of the family's 1533-position model. The record is from RNAcentral.
UUUUAUUGAAGCUUCGGCAGAUUUAGCUGGUUUCUACUGGCGGACGGGUGAGUAACGCGUGGGUAACCUGCCUUAUACAGGGGGAUAACAACCAGAAAUGGUUGCUAAUACCGCAUAAGCGCACAGGACCGCAUGGUUCGGUGUGAAAAACUCCGGUGGUAUAAGAUGGACCCGCGUUGGAUUAGCUAGUUGGCAGGGUAACGGCCUACCAAGGCGACGAUCCAUAGCCGGCCUGAGAGGGUGAACGGCCACAUUGGGACUGAGACACGGCCCAGACUCCUACGGGAGGCAGCAGUGGGGAAUAUUGCACAAUGGGGGAAACCCUGAUGCAGCGACGCCGCGUGAAGGAAGAAGUAUCUCGGUGUGUAAACUUCUAUCAGCAGGGAAGAUAGUGACGGUACCUGACUAAGAAGCCCCGGCUAACUACGUGCCAGCAGCCGCGGUAAUACGUAGGGGGCAAGCGUUAUCCGGAUUUACUGGGUGUAAAGGGAGCGCAGGCGGAAGGCUAAGUCUGAUGUGAAAGCCCGGGGCUCAACCCCGGUACUGCAUUGGAAACUGGUCAUCUAGAGUGUCGGAGGGGUAAGUGGAAUUCCUAGUGUAGCGGUGAAAUGCGUAGAUAUUAGGAGGAACACCAGUGGCGAAGGCGGCUUACUGGACGAUAACUGACGCUGAGGCUCGAAAGCGUGNGGAGCAAACAGGAUUAGAUACCCU